ACCAGCGGCGAUAGAACGUUGAAUGCACCAGUUCCCCACGGAUCACUUCAGUUAAGCAACGUUGCGCGUGGUUAGUAUCUGGAUGGGUGACCAUCUGGGGAACCUGCGUGCUGCUGGGU
This 119-nucleotide ribosomal RNA is filed under the name Diaphorina citri (Asian citrus psyllid). Lineage: Eukaryota; Metazoa; Arthropoda; Insecta; Hemiptera; Psyllidae. The record is from RNAcentral.